RNAcentral lists this ribosomal RNA (256 nucleotides) under uncultured bacterium. RNAcentral's name for it is "partial 16S ribosomal RNA". It matches the Rfam family "Bacterial small subunit ribosomal RNA", at positions 521 to 776 of the family's 1533-position model. The record is from RNAcentral.
UAAUACGGAGGGUGCUAGCGUUGUUCGGAAUUAUUGGGCGUAAAGAGCGUGUAGGCGGCCUCGUAAGUCAGAUGUGAAAGCCCUUGGCUUAACCAAGGAAGUGCAUUUGAAACUGCUUGGCUUGAGUACGGGAGGGGAAAGCGGAAUUCCCGGUGUAGAGGUGAAAUUCGUAGAUAUCGGGAGGAACACCGGUGGCGAAGGCGGCUUUCUGGACCGAUACUGACGCUGAGACGCGAAAGCGUGGGGAGCAAACAGG